GAUGAACGCUGGCGGCGUGCCUAAUACAUGCAAGUCGAGCGAACAGACGAGGAGCUUGCUCCUCUGACGUUAGCGGCGGACGGGUGAGUAACACGUGGAUAACCUACCUAUAAGACUGGGAUAACUUCGGGAAACCGGAGCUAAUACCGGAUAAUAUAUUGAACCGCAUGGUUCAAUAGUGAAAGACGGUUUUGCUGUCACUUAUAGAUGGAUCCGCGCCGCAUUAGCUAGUUGGUAAGGUAACGGCUUACCAAGGCAACGAUGCGUAGCCGACCUGAGAGGGUGAUCGGCCACACUGGAACUGAGACACGGUCCAGACUCCUACGGGAGGCAGCAGUAGGGAAUAUUCCGCAAUGGGCGAAAACCUGACGGAACAACGCCGAGUGAGUGAUGAAGGUCUUCGGAUCGUAAAACUCUGUUAUUAGGAAAGAACAAAUGUGUAAAUAACUAUGCAAGUCUUGACGGUACCUAAUCAGAAAGCCACGGCUAACUACGUG
Molecule: ribosomal RNA, 497 nt
Filed under: uncultured bacterium
Lineage: Bacteria
Description: partial 16S ribosomal RNA
Rfam family: Bacterial small subunit ribosomal RNA
Source: RNAcentral